GUCACAAGAAGCUUCAGUACUGCGGGAUGCAGAGCUCUCACAGUGUGUGUAGCGCUUUUCCACUUCAAACUUCCUCUCAUUUUCUGUGGUCACUUCCUGGGUGUCCACAGUCAAGUGGAGGAACGGAACAGGAGAGAAACCAGGUCAUCUACUGCGCUAUGGAGAAAGUGCCGGAGGCCCAGCUGACUCACCCAACCAACAUUAUUGCAUUAUUAUUGCAUUUCUUUCAUUACUGCUAUCACCUGCUUUUUCAAUACCUCUGGCUUGGAGUCACAGUUCCCAAAGAGUUUUC
Long non-coding RNA from Oreochromis aureus, 292 nucleotides. Lineage: Eukaryota; Metazoa; Chordata; Actinopteri; Cichliformes; Cichlidae. The record is from Ensembl.